RNAcentral lists this ribosomal RNA (1564 nucleotides) under Lactobacillus crispatus. RNAcentral's name for it is "bacterial SSU rRNA". It matches the Rfam family "Bacterial small subunit ribosomal RNA". Lineage: Bacteria; Bacillati; Bacillota; Bacilli; Lactobacillales; Lactobacillaceae. The record is from RNAcentral.
UAAAAUGAGAGUUUGAUCCUGGCUCAGGACGAACGCUGGCGGCGUGCCUAAUACAUGCAAGUCGAGCGAGCGGAACUAACAGAUUUACUUCGGUAAUGACGUUAGGAAAGCGAGCGGCGGAUGGGUGAGUAACACGUGGGGAACCUGCCCCAUAGUCUGGGAUACCACUUGGAAACAGGUGCUAAUACCGGAUAAGAAAGCAGAUCGCAUGAUCAGCUUUUAAAAGGCGGCGUAAGCUGUCGCUAUGGGAUGGCCCCGCGGUGCAUUAGCUAGUUGGUAAGGUAAAGGCUUACCAAGGCGAUGAUGCAUAGCCGAGUUGAGAGACUGAUCGGCCACAUUGGGACUGAGACACGGCCCAAACUCCUACGGGAGGCAGCAGUAGGGAAUCUUCCACAAUGGACGCAAGUCUGAUGGAGCAACGCCGCGUGAGUGAAGAAGGUUUUCGGAUCGUAAAGCUCUGUUGUUGGUGAAGAAGGAUAGAGGUAGUAACUGGCCUUUAUUUGACGGUAAUCAACCAGAAAGUCACGGCUAACUACGUGCCAGCAGCCGCGGUAAUACGUAGGUGGCAAGCGUUGUCCGGAUUUAUUGGGCGUAAAGCGAGCGCAGGCGGAAGAAUAAGUCUGAUGUGAAAGCCCUCGGCUUAACCGAGGAACUGCAUCGGAAACUGUUUUUCUUGAGUGCAGAAGAGGAGAGUGGAACUCCAUGUGUAGCGGUGGAAUGCGUAGAUAUAUGGAAGAACACCAGUGGCGAAGGCGGCUCUCUGGUCUGCAACUGACGCUGAGGCUCGAAAGCAUGGGUAGUGAACAGGAUUAGAUACCCUGGUAGUCCAUGCCGUAAACGAUGAGUGCUAAGUGUUGGGAGGUUUCCGCCUCUCAGUGCUGCAGCUAACGCAUUAAGCACUCCGCCUGGGGAGUACGACCGCAAGGUUGAAACUCAAAGGAAUUGACGGGGGCCCGCACAAGCGGUGGAGCAUGUGGUUUAAUUCGAAGCAACGCGAAGAACCUUACCAGGUCUUGACAUCUAGUGCCAUUUGUAGAGAUACAAAGUUCCCUUCGGGGACGCUAAGACAGGUGGUGCAUGGCUGUCGUCAGCUCGUGUCGUGAGAUGUUGGGUUAAGUCCCGCAACGAGCGCAACCCUUGUUAUUAGUUGCCAGCAUUAAGUUGGGCACUCUAAUGAGACUGCCGGUGACAAACCGGAGGAAGGUGGGGAUGACGUCAAGUCAUCAUGCCCCUUAUGACCUGGGCUACACACGUGCUACAAUGGGCAGUACAACGAGAAGCGAGCCUGCGAAGGCAAGCGAAUCUCUGAAAGCUGUUCUCAGUUCGGACUGCAGUCUGCAACUCGACUGCACGAAGCUGGAAUCGCUAGUAAUCGCGGAUCAGCACGCCGCGGUGAAUACGUUCCCGGGCCUUGUACACACCGCCCGUCACACCAUGGGAGUCUGCAAUGCCCAAAGCCGGUGGCCUAACCUUCGGGAAGGAGCCGUCUAAGGCAGGGCAGAUGACUGGGGUGAAGUCGUAACAAGGUAGCCGUAGGAGAACCUGCGGCUGGAUCACCUCCUUU